This 497-nucleotide ribosomal RNA is filed under the name uncultured bacterium. Its description in RNAcentral is "partial 16S ribosomal RNA". It matches the Rfam family "Bacterial small subunit ribosomal RNA", at positions 28 to 507 of the family's 1533-position model. The record is from RNAcentral.
GAUGAACGCUGGCGGCGUGCCUAAUACAUGCAAGUCGAGCGAACAGACGAGGAGCUUGCUCCUCUGACGUUAGCGGCGGACGGGUGAGUAACACGUGUAUAACCUACCUAUAAGACUGGGAUAACUUCGGGAAACCGGAGCUAAUACCGGAUAAUAUAUUGAACCGCAUGGUUCAAUAGUGAAAGACGGCUUUGCUGUCACUUAUAGAUGGAUCCGCGCCGCAUUAGCUAGUUGGUAAGGUAACGGCUUACCAAGGCAACGAUGCGUAGCCGACCUGAGAGGGUGGUAGGCCACACUGGAGCUGAGACACGGUCCAGACUCCUGCGGGAGGCAGCAGUAGGGAAUCUUCCGCAAUGGGCGAGAGCCUGACGGAGCAACGGCGCGUGAGUGAUGAAGGUCUUCGGAGCGUGAAACUCUGUUAUGAGGGGAGAACAGAUGUGUAAGUAACUAUGGACGUCUUGACGGUACCUGGUCAGAAAGCCACGGCUAACUACGUG